This 481-nucleotide ribosomal RNA is filed under the name uncultured bacterium. Its description in RNAcentral is "bacterial SSU rRNA". It matches the Rfam family "Bacterial small subunit ribosomal RNA", at positions 30 to 513 of the family's 1533-position model. The record is from RNAcentral.
AUUGAACGCUGGCGGCAUGCCUUACACAUGCAAGUCGAACGGUAACAGGUAAGCUGACGAGUGGCGAACGGGUGAGUAAUAUAUCGGAGCGUGCCCAGUCGUGGGGGAUAACGCAGCGAAAGCUGUGCUAAUACCGCAUACGCCCUGAGGGGGAAAGCGGGGGAUCGAAAGACCUCGCGCGAUUAGAGCGGCCGAUGCCUGAUUAGCUUGUUGGUGGGGUAAAAGCCCACCAAGGCGACGAUCAGUAGCUGGUCUGAGAGGACGAUCAGCCACACUGGGACUGAGACACGGCCCAGACUCCUACGGGAGGCAGCAGUGGGGAAUUUUGGACAAUGGGGGCAACCCUGAUCCAGCAAUGCCGCGUGAGUGAAGAAGGCCUUCGGGUUGUAAAGCUCUUUUGUCAGGGAAGAAACACCGGCUCUAACACAGUCCGGGAAUGACGGUACCUGAAGAAUAAGCACCGGCUAACUCUGUGUCUGUG